UUAGAUUUUCCAGCUCGCUCCGUCAGUGGUGAAGGAGUUGGCUAAGGCUAACGUUAGCGAUACUAACCCGACGUCACAACCAAACGUUAGUGAUUGGUUAUGGCAGAUCCAGAGUGGCUCUGGGCAGAUUCAAUAGUUGUAGACUCCAACAGAGUACCCGCCUUAAAGGACGUUGACAUUUGUCAAUGGAGAGCGGCCAGACUCUGUGUUCAAAUAAAAUGUAC
Long non-coding RNA from Etheostoma spectabile (orangethroat darter), 224 nucleotides. RefSeq lists it as uncharacterized. The record is from RefSeq and is a predicted model, not a curated record. The transcript is spliced from 3 exons. NCBI's taxonomy places the organism in Eukaryota, Metazoa, Chordata, Actinopteri, Perciformes, Percidae.